UGCAGUUGCAUAAAUCCUAUGGUGAUGGAGGCGUAUUGCGAUAAGAGGGAUGCCAUAGGCAGUGAUUCAGAGGUGUUGCUGUGUCAAUGGUGCCUGAAAUACGAAUAGCUGCUCGUAAGGUUGAUUAGUUCUUCACGAACGAUGCACGAACCUAGUGACGACAAUGACUGACCUACAGUGUCUUAGAUAUCAUAGACGUUGAUGGUGUUGCUGUCCCAGUUCUGUCUGGAAUCCUAGAAGUUGGUCCUUAGGGUUGAAUGCAUCUUCCGUGGUGGGGGACAAUGAGGUUUUGGCUGGUGCACGGGGCCAUCCUACCUUCUGCCGCUAUGGCAUGCUUUCCGGCUGGAAACGUGGUGGCGGAUUUGAUCAUGGAUUUGGCGGCUGAACUUGCUAGCUGCUGGAAUUUUACAAUUAUAGGGUCUGAAGUGUGAUGGGGAUAAACGGCUUCUUUCAUGUGCUUAGCGUCUGCAUCUGGCGGAAUAAUUGCACUGUUUUAUUACUGCAUUUGGGAUUCCUUACAUAUGAGGUUGUACUAAUGGUUUACAUAAAAUUGUAAAAUAGUUUAAUAUCCUGUUUGCUUUAGGCAUACAGUGUAUGGCGUUUCUUUUAAAUUAAGCUCCCAGUUUAUGGGUAUUUUCGAAAACAACAUUUUUCAUUCAUUCAACAUUCAUUUUUGCGUGUUUAGUAAGUUAAAGCUCCGGGCCAAAUGCGAGGAAUAAUUUUUGCACUUAGGAAAGAGAAGACGAGGGUUGACGUCAGCGGCUGAUAAGGCAUUAAUUUUACGAAGUCUGUGCUGUAAAACGAUGCGUUAAGGAUAGAGAAAGGAAAUGGGUUAUUCGAUUUUGGUGAAAAACUUCUUGCAUAAUAAUGUACAUCUCGAAAAAUACAAUUAAAACUAAUGUAUGUUUUUGAUUUAAGUUUAGACCUGGUUGACAGCAAGAAAAAAACAAGAGUCACUGAAUAAGAGAUGAUGGACUUGUAGAAAGAUGGCAUCGGCAAAAUCAAUCCAAUAUGCUUCAUUAAUGACCGUUUUGGCUGGACUGUGUAAUUAAGCAUCAACUUCAGUAAACAAGCACAUAGUCGAAAAAGAAUUAAACGUACAAUUUUGUAUGGUAUAAUUGAAAAUCA
Molecule: long non-coding RNA, 1128 nt
Organism: Daphnia carinata
Lineage: Eukaryota; Metazoa; Arthropoda; Branchiopoda; Diplostraca; Daphniidae
Exons: 6
Source: RefSeq, a predicted model, not a curated record